GUAGGUGAACCUGCGGAAGGAUCAUUAUCAAAUACUUUAAGAAGGUCUAAACAACCUCUUACUGUACACCCUUUGUCUUUGCGUACUGUAUGUUUCCUCGGUGGGUUCGCCCGUCGAUAGGACAUUUCAAACUCUUUGUAGUUGCAAUCAGCGUCAGAAAAAACUAUAAUAGUUACAACUUUCAACAACGGAUCUCUUGGUUCUG
RNAcentral lists this unclassified non-coding RNA (205 nucleotides) under rhizosphere metagenome. RNAcentral describes it as "partial ribosomal RNA internal transcribed spacer region". The record is from RNAcentral.